This 644-nucleotide long non-coding RNA is filed under the name Nicotiana benthamiana. RNAcentral describes it as "long non-coding RNA (NBEN_LNC031627)". Lineage: Eukaryota; Viridiplantae; Streptophyta; Magnoliopsida; Solanales; Solanaceae. The record is from RNAcentral.
UAUGCUGACCUCUUCGGUAUAGUUUUACCCAAUUGUAUUUGAGAUUGUUUAUUUUCCUAGUGCACUCAUUUUGCUUUCCGUUCGAGGUUGUGAGCUUGUUGGGCUAUUUCUUUUGGUCCUUAACUUUCUGAAUUUUGCAAUCCUUCAAUGCUAGUUUUUCUCUGGGCUCCUCCCGUAACUUAUUGUCCUUCAUGUCCCUUGUUUGUCAAAUGCACCUAAUAUCUGGGAUGAAGCUCAUAAAUUUGGCCAUAAAAGGAGUUACUUGAAAUAAAAGAGUUGGGAAGACACCUCUAUGAGUUUCUCAAGGAAAGAAGCCUUUUAUGUGCUUUCAACGUGAGGUUGACUUUAUUUAAGGGAGAUGAUUUACAGCUUAUGUCAAAGAACUAGCCAGAUUUUAUAGGCAGAUGUGUGAUGUGAAUUCCAACCUUAUAUUUGCUUAGGGAAUUAUAUUUUCUUGUUAUAAUGUUUAUUGAUCCCUUUUUGUCUGUUUUUAACAUUGUGAAAUUCCGGUUCAGAGUUAUAGAUCUCUUCUUUGCAUGUCAUUCUGCCUACUAGUUCUCUUAUCUCUACAACUCUUGCCCUGAACAAAUGUGGUUUUUCGAGGCUUUUAAAUAAGUCAAUGAAGGAACUGAGUCAUAAUCGAU